RNAcentral lists this microRNA precursor (125 nucleotides) under Ovis aries (sheep). RNAcentral describes it as "miRNA (ENSOARG00000021691.1)". The stretch from base 41 to 92 matches the Rfam family "mir-1302 microRNA precursor family". Lineage: Eukaryota; Metazoa; Chordata; Mammalia; Artiodactyla; Bovidae. The record is from RNAcentral.
GGAUGCUCAGUUAAAUCUGAAUUUUAGAUAAACAUUUUCUUUUCCAUUAUAUGUAUGUCUCAUGCAAUAUUUGGGACAUACUUAUAUUAAAAGAUGGUUGUUUAUCUGAAUUCAAAUGUAAUUUG